RNAcentral lists this ribosomal RNA (315 nucleotides) under uncultured eukaryote. RNAcentral's name for it is "partial 18S ribosomal RNA". It matches the Rfam family "Eukaryotic small subunit ribosomal RNA", at positions 1470 to 1796 of the family's 1831-position model. The record is from RNAcentral.
CCCUUAGAUGUUCUGGGCCGCACGCGCGCUACACUGACCAGUGCAACAAGCAUCCGUCCUUGGCCGACAGGCUCGGGCAAUCUUUGAACGCUGGUCGUGAUGGGGAUAGACUUUUGCAAUUUUUGGUCUUCAACGAGGAAUUCCUAGUAAACGCAAGUCAUCAACUUGCAUUGAUUACGUCCCUGCCCUUUGUACACACCGCCCGUCGCACCUACCGAUUGAAUGGUCCGGUGAAGCCUCCGGAUUGGCGCGCACCUCGGUGCCGCCGAGAAGUUGGCUAAACCUUACCAUUUAGAGGAAGGUGAAGUCGUAGCA